This 253-nucleotide ribosomal RNA is filed under the name uncultured bacterium. RNAcentral's name for it is "partial 16S ribosomal RNA". It matches the Rfam family "Bacterial small subunit ribosomal RNA", at positions 524 to 776 of the family's 1533-position model. The record is from RNAcentral.
UACGGAGGAUGCAAGCGUUGUCCGGAUUUAUUGGGUUUAAAGGGUGCGUAGGCUGUUUUAUAAGUCAGUGGUUAAAUUAUUUUGCUUAACAAAAGACCUGCCAUUGAUACUGUAAAACUUGAAUACUGACUAGGUAGGCGGAAUUGGUAGUGUAGCGGUGAAAUGCUUAGAUAUUACCAGGAACACCGAUAGCGAAAGCAGCUUACUGGACAGUAAUUGACGCUGAGGCACGAAAGUGCGGGUAUCAAACAGG